ACGGGAGGCAGCAGUGAGGAAUAUUGGUCAAUGGGCGGAAGCCUGAACCAGCCAAGUCGCGUGAAGGAAGACGGUAUUAUGUAUUGUAAACUUCUUUAGACGCAGAGAAAUAAGGUGCUCGCGAGCGCUGAUGCUAGUAUGCGUAGAAUAAGGAUCGGCUAACUCCGUGCCAGCAGCCGCGGUAAUACGGAAGGUCCGGGCGUUAUCCGGAUUUAUUGGGUUUAAAGGGAGCGUAGGCGGUAUUUUAAGCGUGUUGUGAAAUGUAGAUGCUCAACAUCUGAAUUGCAGCGCGAACUGGAGUACUUGAGUGCGCAGGAAGUUGGCGGAAUUCGUCGUGUAGCGGUGAAAUGCUUAGAUAUGACGAAGAACUCCGAUUGCGAAGGCAGCUGACUGUAGCGUAACUGACGCUGAAGCUCGAAGGUGCGGGUAUCGAACAGGAUUAGAUACCCUGGUA
This 454-nucleotide ribosomal RNA is filed under the name uncultured Prevotella sp. RNAcentral describes it as "bacterial SSU rRNA". It matches the Rfam family "Bacterial small subunit ribosomal RNA", at positions 341 to 792 of the family's 1533-position model. The record is from RNAcentral. Lineage: Bacteria; Pseudomonadati; Bacteroidota; Bacteroidia; Bacteroidales; Prevotellaceae.